RNAcentral lists this ribosomal RNA (301 nucleotides) under uncultured bacterium. Its description in RNAcentral is "partial 16S ribosomal RNA". It matches the Rfam family "Bacterial small subunit ribosomal RNA", at positions 509 to 807 of the family's 1533-position model. The record is from RNAcentral.
CAGUAGCCGCGGGAAUACGUAGGGUGCGAGCGUUAAUCGGAAUUACUGGGCGUAAAGCGUGCGCAGGCGGUUCGUUAAGACAGAUGUGAAAUCCCCGGGCUUAACCUGGGAACUGCAUUUGUGACUGGCGAGCUAGAGUAUGGCAGAGGGGGGUAGAAUUCCACGUGUAGCAGUGAAAUGCGUAGAGAUGUGGAGGGAUACCGAUGGCGAAGGCAGCCCCCUGGGCCAAUACUGACGCUCAUGCACGAAAGCGUGGGGAGCAAACAGGAUUAGAUACCCCAGUAGUCCCUGUCUCUUAUAC